This 485-nucleotide ribosomal RNA is filed under the name uncultured bacterium. Its description in RNAcentral is "partial 16S ribosomal RNA". It matches the Rfam family "Bacterial small subunit ribosomal RNA", at positions 29 to 523 of the family's 1533-position model. The record is from RNAcentral.
AGUGAACGCUGGCGGCGUGCUUAACACAUGCAAGUCGAACGAGAACGGAAUAUAGCUUGCUAUAUUUGUCAGCUAAGUGGCGCACGGGUGAGUAAUGUAUAGAUAACCUGCCCUUAAGAAAGGAAUAACAGUUGGAAACGACUGCUAAUGCCCUAUAUGCCUUUAAUACAUAAGUAUGCAAGGGAAACGCUUUAGUGCUUAAGGAUGGGUCUGUAUGGUAUCAGCUUGUUGGUGAGGUAAUGGCUCACCAAGGCUAUGACGCCUAACUGGUUUGAGAGGAUGAUCAGUCACACUGGAACGGAGACACGGUCCAGACUCCUACGGGAGGCAGCAGUGGGGAAUAUUGCACAAUGGACGAAAGUCGGAUGCAGCAAGGCCGGGUGGAGGAUGACACAUUUCGGUGCGUAAACUCCUUUUAUAUAGGAAGAUAAUGACGGUACUAUAUGAAUAAGCACCGGCUAACUCCGUGCCAGCCGCCGCCGUAA